Long non-coding RNA from Ziziphus jujuba (common jujube), 946 nucleotides. RefSeq lists it as uncharacterized. NCBI's taxonomy places the organism in Eukaryota, Viridiplantae, Streptophyta, Magnoliopsida, Rosales, Rhamnaceae. The record is from RefSeq and is a predicted model, not a curated record. The transcript is spliced from 2 exons.
GUGGGCGCUAUACAGCAGAAAUUUUUUUUCUUUUUUAAAUGAACAUUUAAAAAAAAAAAAAAAAAACCGAAACAAAGAAGACAGAGACGGAGCCAGCCAUGAAAACUACUCCUUUGAAGAAGUCACCGUGUCCGAAUCGCGGUUGUUUCUUUGAAUCCACAGAAACGCCGCGGUUUGAUCAUACCGCUUUGGUUACAGUCCAAUUCCCUCCCUCUCCUUUUACCCCCAACACGCCUUUCGUCGCCGCCAUCGCUGCAUGACGGUCUCAAUCGGGUUGCGUCGCUUUUGGCUUCUGUAGCGGCAAAUAGUUACCUUCUCUUUUUCAACAUUCGCGUCUUAAUUUCUAUCUCCAGCUUGAGGAGCCACUUCCAAUCUCCGAUCCAUCUAUGGAGAAUAUACUACAGAGUUUAUGAGGUACCAAAAAAUCUAUUCUCAAAAUCUAUCAUGGAAUUAAGGGAAAUUAAUUAAAUUUGUCAUAAUCCUUAGAAAAACAUGAUUAUUUUACCAGGAUCAGCAUCUUCUAUGUUUUUCUCAUCUUUUCUUUCUAGGAACAUGUUGGAGGAUUUAUGGCUCUCUUUCCCCUUUUGUUUUCCUUUAAAAAUUAAGGAAAUUUUAACAAAACUAUAUGGAACUUUCCCAGUUCUUUAAAGUCUUGCAGUAUGUGGGGCAGUUAAAAAAGCUGUGCUACUAUAUAUGCAUGAUUUUGAAGAUUCAUAUCCAGCUAGCUCUUCUUUAUGUCAUGGAAUUUAGGGAAAUUGGUUUGUCAAAAUCUUUCAGAAAUGAUUUAUUACCACUAUUUCUUCUAUGUAUUUUUUCAUGUUUGCUUUCUAAGAACAUGUUGGAGUUCAUUCAAGUCUUUUACAGUUUGUGGGGUGCUAAAAAAUCUGUGCUAUUAUAUAUGUAUGAUUUUUAGGAGUAAUAAAAUUAUAAUCCCCAUUCAUAUUCA